CGAGAACGCAAAACUCGAAGCUCGGCGUAAUGCGCGCGACUGCGUUGUACGCGUCACGGUUUUAGAUUCCGAGUGGAGCGGAUAGGAGAUCAUGUGGUUUUACGAUGAUAUUUUUGUUUUGCCGACGACUGUUCCACCGGCAAUAUUUCGCUCCGAUUUUCGAUAACGGGCACUUUUUCUGAAUGAAAAUCUUACCGGUGUAGUACACUUUAGGCAGCUUCGGGUGGGACAUUUUUCGAUUUUCCCAGGAGCUCUCCCGAUAAACGGGAAACAUAAGGGAAAACCCGGAGAACGGGAAAAUAGGUACAAUGUUAAACGAAUAUUAUUAAAGAAAAUGUUAAAUGCAUAAUGUGCAAUUAUUUUACCGACAUACGGCAUAGCCGACCACUCUAUCGACCGAAUCGCCCUCAGAAUCGUUUUUUCGUUAGUAAUGGUUAAUCGCUACUUGCAGACGUACAUUAAAUUCCCGUUUGUAUACU
Molecule: non-coding RNA, 479 nt
Organism: Cinara cedri
Lineage: Eukaryota; Metazoa; Arthropoda; Insecta; Hemiptera; Aphididae
Source: the annotation of a GenBank genome assembly